RNAcentral lists this ribosomal RNA (254 nucleotides) under uncultured bacterium. Its description in RNAcentral is "partial 16S ribosomal RNA". It matches the Rfam family "Bacterial small subunit ribosomal RNA", at positions 100 to 353 of the family's 1533-position model. The record is from RNAcentral.
CACGGGUGAGUAACACGUAUCCAACCUGCCGUCUACUCUUGGACAGCCUUCUGAAAGGAAGAUUAAUACAAGAUGGCAUCAUGAGUCCGCAUGUUCACAUGAUUAAAGGUAUUCCGGUAGACGAUGGGGAUGCGUUCCAUUAGAUAGUAGGCGGGGUAACGGCCCACCUAGUCUUCGAUGGAUAGGGGUUCUGAGAGGAAGGUCCCCCACAUCGGAACUGAGACACGGUCCAAACUCCUACGGGAGGCAGCAUG